AGUGAACGCUGGCGGUAGGCCUAACACAUGCAAGUCGAACGGCAGCACAGUAAGAGCUUGCUCUUACGGGUGGCGAGUGGCGGACGGGUGAGGAAUACAUCGGAAUCUACUUUUUCGUGGGGGGUAACGUAGGGAAACUUACGCUAAUACCGCAUACGACCUACGGGUGAAAGCAGGGGAUCUUCGGACCUUGCGCGAUUGAAUGAGCCGAUGUCGGAUUAGCUAGUUGGCGGGGUAAAGGCCCACCAAGGCGACGAUCCGUAGCUGGUCUGAGAGGAUGAUCAGCCACACUGGAACUGAGACACGGUCCAGACUCCUACGGGAGGCAGCAGUGGGGAAUAUUGGACAAUGGGCGCAAGCCUGAUCCAGCCAUACCGCGUGGGUGAAGAAGGCCUUCGGGUUGUAAAGCCCUUUUGUUGGGAAAGAAAAGCAGCAGGUUAAUACCCCGCUGCUCUGACGGUACCCAAAGAAUAAGCACCGGCUAACUUCGUG
This 492-nucleotide ribosomal RNA is filed under the name uncultured bacterium. RNAcentral's name for it is "partial 16S ribosomal RNA". It matches the Rfam family "Bacterial small subunit ribosomal RNA", at positions 29 to 507 of the family's 1533-position model. The record is from RNAcentral.